UUAUAAGAGACAGCAGUAGCCACGGUAAUACGGAGGGUGCAAGCGUUACUCGGAAUCACUGGGCGUAAAGGACGCGUAGGCGGAUUAUCAAGUCUCUUGUGAAAUCUAACGGCUUAACCGUUAAACUGCUUGGGAAACUGAUAAUCUAGAGUAAGGGAGAGGCAGAUGGAAUUCUUGGUGUAGGGGUAAAAUCCGUAGAGAUCAAGAAGAAUACCCAUUGCGAAAGCGAUCUGCUGGAACUUAACUGACGCUAAUGCGUGAAAGCGUGGGGAGCAAACAGGAUUAGAUACCCCGGUAGUCCCUGUCUCUUAUAC
RNAcentral lists this ribosomal RNA (314 nucleotides) under uncultured bacterium. RNAcentral's name for it is "partial 16S ribosomal RNA". It matches the Rfam family "Bacterial small subunit ribosomal RNA", at positions 499 to 807 of the family's 1533-position model. The record is from RNAcentral.